UACGUAGGGUGCAAGCGUUGUCCGGAAUUAUUGGGCGUAAAGAGCUCGUAGGCGGUCUGUCGCGUCGGCUGUGAAAUCCCGGAGCUCAACUCCGGGUCUGCAGUCGAUACGGGCAAACUGGAGUACUGCAGGGGAGACUGGAAUUCCUGGUGUAGCGGUAAAAUGCGCAGAUAUCAGGAGGAACACCGGUGGCGAAGGCGGGUCUCUGGGCAGUAACUGACGCUGAGGAGCGAAAGCGUGGGGAGCGAACAGG
This 253-nucleotide ribosomal RNA is filed under the name uncultured bacterium. RNAcentral's name for it is "partial 16S ribosomal RNA". It matches the Rfam family "Bacterial small subunit ribosomal RNA", at positions 524 to 776 of the family's 1533-position model. The record is from RNAcentral.